GGGGAGCUUCCCGAGCGGUCAAAGGGGGCAGACUGUAAAUCUGUUGGCUCAGCCUUCAUAGGUUCAAAUCCUAUGCUCCCCA
This 82-nucleotide transfer RNA is filed under the name Treponema sp. RNAcentral's name for it is "tRNA-Tyr". It matches the Rfam family "tRNA". Rfam says of the family: Transfer RNA (tRNA) molecules are approximately 80 nucleotides in length. The record is from RNAcentral. Lineage: Bacteria; Pseudomonadati; Spirochaetota; Spirochaetia; Treponematales; Treponemataceae.